AUUGAACGCUGGCGGCAGGCCUAACACAUGCAAGUCGAGCGGAUGAAGGGAGCUUGCUCCUGGAUUCAGCGGCGGACGGGUGGGUAAUGCCUAGGAAUCUGCCUGGUAGUGGGGGAUAACGUCCGGAAACGGGCGCUAAUACCGCAUACGUCCUGAGGGAGAAAGUGGGGGAUCUUCGGACCUCACGCUAUCAGAUGAGCCUAGGUCGGAUUAGCUAGUUGGUGGGGUAAAGGCCUACCAAGGCGACGAUCCGUAACUGGUCUGAGAGGAUGAUCAGUCACACUGGAACUGAGACACGGUCCAGACUCCUACGGGAGGCAGCAGUGGGGAAUAUUGGACAAUGGGCGAAAGCCUGAUCCAGCCAUGCCGCGUGUGUGAAGAAGGUCUUCGGAUUGUAAAGCACUUUAAGUUGGGAGGAAGGGCAGUAAGUUAAUACCUUGCUGUUUUGACGUUACCAGCAGAAUAAGCACCGGCUAACUUCGUG
RNAcentral lists this ribosomal RNA (484 nucleotides) under uncultured bacterium. RNAcentral describes it as "partial 16S ribosomal RNA". It matches the Rfam family "Bacterial small subunit ribosomal RNA", at positions 30 to 507 of the family's 1533-position model. The record is from RNAcentral.